This 2206-nucleotide ribosomal RNA is filed under the name Bacteroides ovatus CL03T12C18. Its description in RNAcentral is "bacterial LSU rRNA". It matches the Rfam family "Bacterial large subunit ribosomal RNA", at positions 1 to 2226 of the family's 2925-position model. The record is from RNAcentral. Lineage: Bacteria; Pseudomonadati; Bacteroidota; Bacteroidia; Bacteroidales; Bacteroidaceae.
GAAAGUAAGCAAGGGCGCAUGGCGGAUGCCUUGGCUCUCGGAGGCGAUGAAGGACGUGAUAAGCUGCGAUAAGCUUCGGGCAGGUGCAAAUAACCUUUGAUCCGAAGAUUUCCGAAUGGGACAACCCGGCAUUCUGAAGGAAUGUCAUCCAUCCUAGAUGGAAGCUAACGCAGGGAACUGAAACAUCUUAGUACCUGUAGGAAAAGAAAAUAAUAAUGAUUCCCCUAGUAGUGGCGAGCGAACGGGGAUUAGCCCAAACCAAUGUUGUUACGGCAAUAUUGGGGUUGUAGGACCACGAUGUCGCAAGAAAUUUAGUGAGAAGAACCCUUUGGAAAAUGGGACCAUAGACGGUGAUAGUCCGGUAUUCGAAGCUAAAUGAAGCGUAGUGGUAUCCUGAGUAGCGCGGGACACGAGGAAUCUUGCGUGAAUCUGCCGGGACCAUCCGGUAAGGCUAAAUACUCCCGAGAGACCGAUAGCGAACCAGUACUGUGAAGGAAAGGUGAAAAGCACUUCGAAUAGAAGAGUGAAAUAGUCCCUGAAACCGUGCGCCUACAAGCGGUCGGAGCUGCUUCAGCAGUGACGGCGUGCCUUUUGCAUAAUGAACCUACGAGUUACUUUUUCCGGCAAGGUUAAGGAUCUUGAGAUCCGCAGCCGAAGCGAAAGCGAGUCUUAACAGGGCGAUUAGUCGGAAGGAGUAGACGCGAAACCAAGUGAUCUACCCUUGGUCAGGUUGAAGGUUAGGUAACACUAACUGGAGGACCGAACCGAUAAGCGUUGAAAAGCUUCCGGAUGAACUGAGGGUGGGGGUGAAAGGCUAAUCAAACUUGGAGAUAGCUCGUACUCCCCGAAAUGCAUUUAGGUGCAGCCUUGGGAAUUACUACUGUGAGGUAGAGCGACUGAUAAGAUGCGAGGGCUUCACCGCCUAUCAAGUCUUGAUAAACUCCGAAUGCGCAGUAGUUCGAUCCCAGGAGUGAGGGCAUGGGUGCUAAGGUCCAUGUCCUAAAGGAGAAGAAUCCAGACCAUCAGCUAAGGUCCCGAAAUAAUUGCUAAGUUGAACUAACGAAGUCAGAUUGCUAAGACAGCUAGGAUGUUGGCUUGGAAGCAGCCAUUCAUUUAAAGAGUGCGUAACAGCUCACUAGUCGAGGAGUUUGGCGUGGAUAAUAAUCGGGCAUCAAGCAAUUUACCGAAGCUAUGGGAUCCGUAAGGAUCGGUAGGGGAGCAUUCCACUCUGCGUCGAAGGUGAAGCGUGAGCUUUGCUGGAGCGUGUGGAAAAGCAAAUGUAGGUAUAAGUAACGAUAAAGGGGGUGAGAAACCCCCUCGCCGAAAGACUAAGGUUUCCUGAUCAACGCUAAUCGGAUCAGGGUUAGUCGGGUCCUAAGGCUCAGCCGAACGGUGAGGCCGAUGGCAGAACAGGUUAAUAUUCCUGUACUACCUUAAGGAGUGACGUGGAGACGGAGGAGUGACAGCGCCGCGGACUGACGGAAUAGUCCGUUGAAGGGUGUAGAUGUUGAUUAUCCCAGGCAAAUCCAGGAUAAGAGUCGAACCUGAUAGUAUACCAAAUUCUUCGGAAUAAGGUAAUAGUGCGUGUAAGCAUACUCCCAAGAAAAUCCGCUAAACUUAAUCUUUAAGGUACCCGUACCGCAAACGGACACACGUAGUCGGGUUGAAUAUACUAAGGCGCUUGAGUGAUUCACGGUUAAGGAACUAGGCAAAUUGACCCUGUAACUUCGGGAUAAAGGGUCCCAACGAGAGUUGGGCGCAGAGAAUAGGUCCAGGCAACUGUUUAACAAAAACACAGGGCUGUGCUAAAUUGAAAGAUUACGUAUACAGCCUGACACCUGCCCGGUGCUGGAAGGUUAAGAGGAGAUGUCAUCGCAAGAGAAGCAUUGAAUUGAAGCCCCAGUAAACGGCGGCCGUAACUAUAACGGUCCUAAGGUAGCGAAAUUCCUUGUCGGGUAAGUUCCGACCUGCACGAAUGGUGUAAUGAUCUGGACACUGUCUCAACCGUGAGCUCAGUGAAAUUGUAGUAUCGGUGAAGAUGCCGAUUACCCGCGAUGGGACGAAAAGACCCCGUGAACCUUUACUAUAGCUUAACAUUGAAUUUGGGUAAUUGAUGUGUAGGAUAGGCCGGAGACUUUGAAGCAGGUACGCCAGUAUUUGUGGAGUCGCUGUUGAAAUACGGCCCUUUGAUUAUUUGAGUUCUAAC